RNAcentral lists this ribosomal RNA (341 nucleotides) under Nematoda environmental sample. RNAcentral describes it as "SSU rRNA". It matches the Rfam family "Eukaryotic small subunit ribosomal RNA", at positions 1300 to 1665 of the family's 1831-position model. Lineage: Eukaryota; Metazoa; Nematoda. The record is from RNAcentral.
GGUGGAGCGAUUUGUCUGGUUAAUUCCGAUAACGAACGAGACUCUAGCCUACUAAAUAGUGGAUGAAUUUUUAGUUCAUCAUACUUCUUAGAGGGACAAGGGGUAUCUAGCCCCACGAGAUUGAGCAAUAACAGGUCUGUGAUGCUCUUAGAUGUCCGGGGCUGCACGCGCGCUACACUAAAGGAGUCAACAUGCAUUAAAACCUAGUCUGGAAAGACCGGGUAACCCAAUGAAACUCCUUCGUGAUUGGGAUAGGGAAUUGUAAUUAUUUCCCUUGAACGAGGAAUUCCUAGUAAAUGCGGGUCAUCAUCUCGCGUUGAAUACGUCCCUGCCCUUUGUAC